This 422-nucleotide ribosomal RNA is filed under the name uncultured bacterium. RNAcentral describes it as "bacterial SSU rRNA". It matches the Rfam family "Bacterial small subunit ribosomal RNA", at positions 355 to 774 of the family's 1533-position model. The record is from RNAcentral.
UGAGGAAUACUGGGCAAUGCCCGCAAGGGUGACCCAGCAACGCCGCGUGGAGGAUGAAUGUCGUAAGAUUGUAAACUCCUGUUAGAGGGGAAGAAUAGUACCGGUUGGACCGGUAUAUGACUGUACCCUCAGAGAAAGCCCCGGCUAACUACGUGCCAGCAGCCGCGGUAAUACGUAGGGGGCAUGCGUUGUCCGGAUUUACUGGGUGUAAAGGGCGCGCAGGCGGGAUAAAAAGUCAGUGGUGAAAUCCUACAGCUUAACUGUAGAACUGCCUUUGAUACUUUUAUUCUUGAGUGCGGGAGGGAGAGACGGAAUUCCAGGUGUAGUGGUGAAAUACGUAGAUAUCUGGAAGAACACCAGUUGCGAAGGCGGUCUCUUGGUGCGACACUGAAGCUGGGGCGCGAAAGCGUGGGGAGCAAACA